RNAcentral lists this transfer RNA (69 nucleotides) under Panesthia angustipennis cognata. RNAcentral describes it as "tRNA-Val". Lineage: Eukaryota; Metazoa; Arthropoda; Insecta; Blattodea; Blaberidae. The record is from RNAcentral.
CAAAUUAUUCUUUAAGUUGAGAUUUUCAUUUACAUUGAAAAUGGUGUCGUGCAAUUCGAUAUAGUUUGA